GGGGAACCGAGGCGCGGACAAGGCAAGUGACCCCCAAGGUCAUACAAUUCUGCCAAGUGCUGAGCAAACACUGCGGACUGGACUUCUGGUCUACUGCUUUCCAUGGCAUCAGCUAAGAUGACUGCUCUGAACCUGGGGCUGCGGCAGCCUCUGAUGAUGGCCGUGAACAAAUAGAAGCUGAGGGUGAAGGACCUACAGCUGUCACCUUCAUCUCUUCUCAACACUGCCAACUGUCUCCUUGGAUCUCCCAGACAGACGACUAGGGACAUCUCUGGUUUCUCGGUGCUCCCUAGAAACCUAGGGUCAUUUCAAGGCAUUAUGCAAAUGAGCUUUCCUUCUCUUCACCUCAUCUCCUGAUCUGCACAAAAAUGACCGUAGGACCCACUGUAGGUACCAAUGUAGGCACCAAUCCUCAGUUUACCACCUGCUCUCUACUUGCUUCCCUGCCAUAACUUUCUAAAAGGGAUGUGAGCCAUGUUUAAAGUCACCUGGUCACUGGAGGGAUCUUGUUCUACACUCUACAUCAGUGGUUGCCAACCUUUUUGGCACCAGGGACUGGUGUUGUGGAAGACAAUUUUUCCACGGACUGGGGGAUGGGGGGAGUGGUUUCAGGAUAAAACUGCUCCACCUCAAAUCAUCAGGCAUUAGAUUCUCAUAAGGAGCACACAACCUAGAUUGCUAGCAGGCACAGUUCACAAUAGGGUUCGUUCUCCUGUGAGAAUGGCAUGCCGCUGCUGAUCUAACAGAGGCAGAGCUCAGGUGGUAAUGGGAGCAAGGGGGAGCGGCUCUAAAUACAGCUUGCCGCUCACCUCCUGCUGUGCAGCCCAGUUCCUAACAGGCCACAGAUGGUACUGGUCUGUAGCCCAGGAGUUUGGGAAUCCUGCUCUACAGAGUUUCCAACCUCAGAGAUGAAGCAUCCCCUCUGUAAGUCAGAAAGAAAUUAUUCAAGUAGGAGAAUUAAAACAGGAUCACAGAGAGGGAGGCUGAAGAAUUUGUCUUUCUGUGUUUACUUGUAUGAGGAAAAACGGCACAUGGAGGCAUCCACAGUAUUUAAUUUGUUUGUAUACUAGUUACAGAUAAACAGGUACACCCCAUAUACAAUUACCAAUACUUUUUAUACAGUUCAUAUUUCGGUACAUCAACACUAUUUUAUUUACACUCUAUUUAUGUACAUUAACAUCUUUCUAAAGUCAGUGCAUUGUCAACAAGUUUUAUACAGUAAUUUACAAGGUGAAUGUAGUUAAUAGUUAAUUUAAUAAAUUUUCUGCUAGUUCAUGAAUUAAAAAAAUUAAUUACAACCAGUAUAACAAACACAGAUCAAACAACAUUAGUAGAUUGAGCUACCUGCUUAAAUAAAACAUCUGUAAAGAAAUUAUUUAAAAUCUUCCACUUUUUAAUGGGAAUGGACAGAUUUUAUAUACUGAAAAUCUUGAAACUAUAAAGUAUGCAUUUUGUCUGACUUUAUUACAUUAGACAAUUUAGGUAGCCAUUUAAGAUAACCUUUCCAAAUGCUCUGAGAACUAGAUAUUAAUAGUUACUGGCCUCAGAUAUCAGAACACAAAUACUUAGUUACAUUGGUAAUUACUAUCUAUGAGGAAGAAAGGGUAGUGGAAUCUGACAAUUAAUGAGAAUC
Molecule: long non-coding RNA, 1633 nt
Filed under: Homo sapiens (human)
Lineage: Eukaryota; Metazoa; Chordata; Mammalia; Primates; Hominidae
Description: HSALNT0243386
Source: RNAcentral